ACACAUCUCCUCUGAAACAUAAGAAUCGAUCGUCCCUUUCCAUUAUCCAUCCACCAAAUCAAAACUCUGCCACAAUUUCAACUUAGGACCGGUUAGAUCUCCAGAUCUGACAAAAUCGAUUCUAUUAGAACCAUCUCCGACUCUUCCUCUUCGCCGAUUAAUGGCACUUGGGCCCGCCGUGACCCUCCGAAUGCAGUAGCGGGCCUAGCGGCACCGGGGGUAUAGUCUUCGCAGCCGUGGCUGCCGACAUCGACAGGUUGAGAGCAGAUUUUCGGCGAACGAGAGGGUGGUGGUCGUCAGUCAAAGCAGCGGAGAGGCCAGACUUGUCAGGC
Molecule: long non-coding RNA, 332 nt
Filed under: Panax ginseng (ginseng)
Lineage: Eukaryota; Viridiplantae; Streptophyta; Magnoliopsida; Apiales; Araliaceae
Description: long non-coding RNA (PGIN_LNC006697)
Source: RNAcentral